GACGAACGCUGGCGGCGUGCUUAACACAUGCAAGUCGAACGGAAAGGCCCUGCUUUUGUGGGGUGCUCGAGUGGCGAACGGGUGAGUAACACGUGAGUAACCUGCCCUUGACUUUGGGAUAACUUCAGGAAACUGGGGCUAAUACCGGAUAGGAGCUCCUGCUGCAUGGUGGGGGUUGGAAAGUUUCGGCAGUUGGGGAUGGACUCGCGGCUUAUCAGCUUGUUGGUGGGGUAGUGGCUUACCAAGGCUUUGACGGGUAGCCGGCCUGAGGGGGUGACCGGCCACAUUGGGACUGAGAUACGGCCCAGACUCCUACGGGAGGCAGCAGUGGGGAAUAUUGCACAAUGGGCGGAAGCCUGAUGCAGCAACGCCGCGUGCGGGAUGACGGCCUUCGGGUUGUAAACCGCUUUCGCCUGUGACGAAGCGUGAGUGACGGUAAUGGGUAAAGAAGCACCGGCUAACUACGUG
Molecule: ribosomal RNA, 468 nt
Filed under: uncultured bacterium
Lineage: Bacteria
Description: partial 16S ribosomal RNA
Rfam family: Bacterial small subunit ribosomal RNA
Source: RNAcentral